CAAUAGCGUAUAUUUAAGUUGCUGCAGUUAAAAAGCUCGUAGUCGGAUUUUGGCUGAGAACGAUCGGUCCGCCGUUAGGUGUGCACUGAUUGGUCUCAGCUUCCUGGUGAGGAGGUGUGCUUCACGGCCACUUAGUCACCGUGGUUACUUUGAAAAAAUUAGAGUGUUCAAAGCGGGCUUACGCUUGAAUAUAUUAGCAUGGAAUAACACCAUAGGACUCCUGUCCUAUUUCGUUGGUCUCGGGACGGGAGUAAUGAUUAAGAGGAACAGUUGGGGGCAUUCGUAUUUCAUUGUCAGAGGUGAAAUUCUUGGAUUUAUGAAAGACGAACUUCUGCGAAAGCAUUUGCCAAGGAUGUUCUCAUUGA
Molecule: ribosomal RNA, 365 nt
Filed under: uncultured eukaryote
Lineage: Eukaryota
Description: partial 18S ribosomal RNA
Rfam family: Eukaryotic small subunit ribosomal RNA
Source: RNAcentral